UACGGAGGGUGCGAGCGUUAUCCGGAAUCACUGGGCGUAAAGGGCGCGUAGGCGGCGCGACAAGGCGGCGGUGAAAGUCCGGGGCUCAACCCCGGAUCGGCCGUGGCGACUGUCGCGCUCGAGCACAGUAGAGGCGGGUGGAAUUCCGGGUGUAGCGGUGGAAUGCGUAGAGAUCCGGAAGAACACCGGUGGCGAAGGCGGCCCGCUGGGCUGUGGCUGACGCUGAGGCGCGACAGCGUGGGGAGCAAACAGG
Molecule: ribosomal RNA, 253 nt
Filed under: uncultured bacterium
Lineage: Bacteria
Description: partial 16S ribosomal RNA
Rfam family: Bacterial small subunit ribosomal RNA
Source: RNAcentral